UACGGGGGGAGCAAGCGUUGUUCGGAUUUACUGGGCGUAAAGCGCACGCAGGCGGUUGCGCGCGUGGGGUGUGAAAUCUGGCCGCUUAACGGCCAGGCGCCAUCCCAUACGGCGCGCCUGGAGCCUUGCAGAGGUCGGUGGAAUUGCCGGUGUAGUGGUGAAAUGCGUAGAUAUCAGGAGGAACACCGGUGGCGAAGGCGCUCAUCUGGCCCAAUACUGACGCUGAGGCGCGAAAGCUAGGGGAGCAAACGGG
This 253-nucleotide ribosomal RNA is filed under the name uncultured bacterium. RNAcentral describes it as "partial 16S ribosomal RNA". It matches the Rfam family "Bacterial small subunit ribosomal RNA", at positions 524 to 776 of the family's 1533-position model. The record is from RNAcentral.